UCUUCCCAUCCCGAACAGAGAAGUUAAGCCCGUUAGCGCCGAUGGUACUGCCCCCGGGUGGGAGAGUAGGUCGAUGCCGAAU
RNAcentral lists this ribosomal RNA (82 nucleotides) under Odoribacter sp. AM16-33. The record is from RNAcentral. Lineage: Bacteria; Pseudomonadati; Bacteroidota; Bacteroidia; Bacteroidales; Odoribacteraceae.